This 253-nucleotide ribosomal RNA is filed under the name uncultured bacterium. RNAcentral's name for it is "partial 16S ribosomal RNA". It matches the Rfam family "Bacterial small subunit ribosomal RNA", at positions 524 to 776 of the family's 1533-position model. The record is from RNAcentral.
UACGGAGGGGGCUAGCGUUGUUCGGAAUUACUGGGCGUAAAGCGCACGUAGGCGGUUUGGUAAGUUGGGGGUGAAAUCCCGGGGCUCAACCCCGGAACUGCCUUCAAAACUCCCAGUCUGGAGGUCGAGAGAGGUGAGUGGAAUUCCGAGUGUAGAGGUGAAAUUCGUAGAUAUUCGGAGGAACACCAGUGGCGAAGGCGGCUCACUGGCUCGAUACUGACGCUGAGGUGCGAAAGCGUGGGGAGCAAACAGG